UACCUGUGGGGCAAGCGUUGUUCGGAAUUACUGGGCAUAAAGGGUGUGUAGGUGGCUUGUUAAGUCAGGGGUGAAAGUUUUCGGCCCAACCGGAAAAUGGCCUUUGAUACUGGCGAGCUCGAGUGCGUGAGGGGUAACCGGAACGAGCAGUGUAGCGGUGAAAUGCGUAGAUAUUGCUCGGAAGGCCAACGGCGAAGGCAGGUUACUGGUGCGCAACUGACACUGAGGCACGAAAGCGUGGGGAGCAAACAGG
RNAcentral lists this ribosomal RNA (253 nucleotides) under uncultured bacterium. RNAcentral's name for it is "partial 16S ribosomal RNA". It matches the Rfam family "Bacterial small subunit ribosomal RNA", at positions 524 to 776 of the family's 1533-position model. The record is from RNAcentral.